CUGCAUCUUUGACAGCCUGGACUCUCUGACGUGAGAGAUACUGGGUUUUAAAAAUUCAGAUGCAAUAUAAAAAUGUCCCCGCGCUUUCUGCUCGCCUCUUCCCCAUGGCGUCUCGGAUUGAAUAGGGGAGGAUAAAU
Small nucleolar RNA from Pleuronectes platessa (European plaice), 137 nucleotides. RefSeq annotates it as small nucleolar RNA SNORA31. Lineage: Eukaryota; Metazoa; Chordata; Actinopteri; Pleuronectiformes; Pleuronectidae. The transcript has a single exon. The record is from RefSeq and is a predicted model, not a curated record.